This 3024-nucleotide long non-coding RNA is filed under the name Marmota monax (woodchuck). Lineage: Eukaryota; Metazoa; Chordata; Mammalia; Rodentia; Sciuridae. The record is from RNAcentral.
AUGUUUUUAUUUCCAUUUUUUUUUUUAGAUGCAGAAAUGGAGACUUAAAGAGGCUGAAUAAUUUGCCCAAUAUCAUAGAGCUAGUAACUCUUGGGGCUGGAAUUUGAACCCAGGCAGUCCUGCUCUAGCAUUGGAGCUACCACUUGGUCACACCAGCAUAUCAGGUGUGUGUGUAUCUCUGGCCAAUUAACCUUUCUGGCUGGCAAAAUCUCACCUCUACCUGAACUCCAGGGAGAGAAGGCUAUCUUUAAAGGUUCCCAUUUCAUUUUUCAGUUUAAUUGUUAGAAAGUCCUUCAUUAUAUUGAACUAAAAUCUGCCUCCCCAAGGCUUCCAUUGAUCUUCACAGUACAAAUUUAAUCCCCCUUCCAUACAAACGCUCUCACACAGAUGUGUGCCACCCCGCCCCCAUGCCUCUUCCUGCGCAUCGUUUGUGGGAACACUGGAAAUAGGCCCUCUCAUGGUUCCAAGCCCCCAAAGCAGCUGAGGCCAAGGGGAGGCUGGAUGGAGCUUAUGGAGGGGGUGGAAUGUUAAAUCAGGUAUUGCAAAUAGCUCCCAGGCAAUAUUUAGAACCAUGGGCAAGAAUUUCUUGGGAACUAGCUGAGUGGUCCUAUCAUCCCUGAAUUAUAUGCCACCCUGUAUCAUAGAUGUUGCUAUAAGAUGUAUUUGGUCCUAAAAUUGGGGAGCACAGUGGAAUAGCUGUGACUGUGACCCUCUGAUUUAUAGCUGAAUCUUUAUUCCAACUUAAUGAGGUUCCCUAGGAAAGGGAACCAUGUGCAAAAAAAUUAGUGAGGAUGAGACACAGAAAGACAUAAAAAUGGAGAGGAUGAAGGACCCCAGUGAUAUGAAAAGCGGUUCUGCAGCAGGAAAGAUGGCAGCAGAUAAGGCAAGGAGAUAAAUGAAUACCUUGGUCUGGACAUGAAAGAGCUGGAAGUGUUUGUCUUCUCCACUGAUUACAUAAUAGAAAUCAGAACACUUAAGAAAGUUGCCAGGUGGAUAUAGUACUAAAGCAACCAAGCCAGCUCCCCUAGAGGGCUUCAUGGAAAGGAAUGAGAAGAAGCACCUUUGACAGCAAUCUUUAGCUAUCUUCUGUCCCUUUCUCCCCUCAACUACCAGCUUUUAGUUUGACUAUGGCACCCAAUGGAUUCAUGGCCUAUUAUCUAUCCUUUUGUGGUCACAUGGCCAAGAAUUUCCAAAAGGUCAGCAAUGAUGACAGCCCCAAAACCUGGUAGAACCCAAAUCCUGACCCCCAACCGAAGAUCUUUGGAGAAAUGGCAAAGAUAUGCAAUAAAAUAAAGAUGCCUCUGUUGUGCUAAUUGUGUGUUCAAACAUCCAUUCAAAGACACGUGGGCCAGGCCUGUAGCUACAGUGGUAAGCAAGACCAACUCAGUCUCCAUGUCAGGCUAAUCAGACUCAUUGUGCAAAACUCUGUGUUAGCCUGAGCUGGUAUGAAGCUCUGAUCAUCUCAGCCCCCUUUUAGGACUUUUAGGAAGGAGAUGUGGAGGGUGAACAUUUUCUCUGCAGUUGGAAUAGGAUGCUGCUGGCUGGAUACUAGCUCUGCCUGUGUUGGCUCUCUUCUUGGAGAUGUGAGGUGUACAGCUAUGGGGGUGGGGGCGUAGGGUGCUUCUCAGAGGAAUAUCCACAGGCUUCCCCCCUUCACACUCCAUUGGACAAUUCCCCUUUGUCUAAAUUUGGAUAUUGCUCUCUAAUGCACAGAGGCUAAGCGUAGCAGUGUCAGCCUCUCCUGGAAUAUGGGGCCAGGCCUUUGAGCAGACAGGCAUUCCUCAUCUUCAGUCUCUCAGCAUCUCAGAGCGAUUAACAUAACAUGACACCAGGCCCAUCAAGAUAAGGAUCCUAAUGGCCACAAUGGCUUCCCUUUCUUCCCCCAGCCCUUCUUUAUUGCUCUGUGCUUUCCGCUCACUUCCAGCAGGGAAGAGUUUAGAAGCAUGGGGCUAGGCCAGCCGUUCUGCAGGCUGCUUCCCGCAAGGCUUGUGCGAGGGCUCCAGGGACGGGAGGCAUUUCCCUUUAAUAAGCUUCUCACACUACAUUAAAGAUAAAAGGGGAAGGGAAAUAUUUAUAUUCUGACAAAGCAGCUCUUCCCUUCAGGCUCUUGUUUUAUUUAUUAACUUGCUCUGUCCCUCUCUCUCUCCUCUCUCUCUGUUUCAGGGGCUAGGCAUUUGCGGUCCUUCUCCCCUUUAGUCAUUAAUUUUGUGGGUGAGUGACAGUGACAGGGGGACUUGGAAUUGUUGUCAAAGAGACGGGAUUGUAGGUGGGUGCCAUUCCCAGGGGACACAAACAGCUGUUUCUCCAUCCUCCUGGGAGCUACUUCCCAUUACCACUCUUAUUAUAUAGCACCUGGACGGUGGAAUAGAUCACACUGGUUAAGUUAUGUCAUUUUUAAAUGAAGCUGUGUCAGUGGGCAAAUUGUCAGAGGUAUGGUAACCUAGGUGGGUGGCUGUGUGCCGGGGAUCUCUUCGACCUCCUGUUUUAUGACACAUUUUCUUCUCUCACAGAGAUGAUCCCUUAAGGAGGCUUAUUUCUUCCCAGCUAAUCUACCCAGAGCCAAUAAAACAUGGGUAUGCUGUUCUGAAUCUUGAUUUAUCCUUUUGCAAUGAUUAUCGUUAAAGUUUCAGACCACCUAUUGUUCUAAAGCUGUGGCAGGUUGUUAAGGAGUUAAUCCUCUAUUCCCUACCCACCACUUACCCCCUUUAAGGAGUCUGCCUUGAUUAGUGGAGGCAGGAGGACAGGAGAGGUUAGGUUCUGCUCUUUUGGCUUGGGUAGUAAGUACCUGGGAGUUGAAGCUUCUGCUUUUUGGUAAUUUCUUUUUCUUUUUAAAAAUGACACAUGAUCAUCACUUAAAAAUUCAAGAACAAGGAAAGCAACAAAUGACCUGCCCAUCUGUGGAGAAGCAAAGGUGGGUCAAGAGCUCAGAUUUUGGAGCCUGCAUCUCUGGGCUGGAUCCUUUAGCUCUACCAUGUAUUAACAGCAGGAGACAGUGCCCGGCCUCAGUUUCCUUACCAGUAAAAU